UCGGUCGGUGGGUAUCCUCCAACAGGCUGCAAUCAUGAAUCUACAUGAUAGAAAUGCAAAGACAAGUGGAAGAUGAAAAACAUAAAAUGAUUGACUUUUUCUAUAGAGGAAAACAAUUAUUCACAUUCUGGUGACGUUACACGUGUGGCUAAUUCUAUCAAGAAGCAAAAUUGGUUUAUGAGGUUUCUAAAGUUAUUACAGUAAAUUAACACACAAAAUUCAUGAAACUUGAGUCAGGAUGUCAAUGAUAUAAAGCUCUGAGAAAGAAUGAAGACAUAUCCAACGGGGACAAGUUAAUUUUGACCCUUACUUGAAAAUUCGAUCUCUGAGGCAUCUAUGGUACGUGAAGGAGUCUAAAGUAUGUAACGAAAAGGAGCCUCCUAUAUAUGCAAAACAGCUUUUUUAUGAUUGUGUCAAUGGUCCCCAGCCGUAGCUCAAAAGCAAGACACUUGCGUAGUGAAGAUUUCAUUUUGGUUUAUAACAUUGUGACAUUGCGUAA
Molecule: long non-coding RNA, 499 nt
Filed under: Elaeis guineensis (African oil palm)
Lineage: Eukaryota; Viridiplantae; Streptophyta; Magnoliopsida; Arecales; Arecaceae
Description: long non-coding RNA (EGUI_LNC010957)
Source: RNAcentral